UACGUAGGGGGCAAGCGUUGUCCGGAUUUAUUGGGUUUAAAGGGUGCGUAGGCGGCUCUAUAAGUCAGUGCUGAAAUAUCCCGGCUUAACCGGGAGGGUGGCAUUGAUACUGUAGGGCUUGAGUGUAGUCGAGGUAGGCGGAAUUGACGGUGUAGCGGUGAAAUGCUUAGAUAUCGUCAAGAACACCGAUAAUGUAGACAGCUUACUAGGCUACAACUGACGCUGAGGCACGAAAGUGUGGGGAUCAAACAGG
RNAcentral lists this ribosomal RNA (253 nucleotides) under uncultured bacterium. RNAcentral describes it as "partial 16S ribosomal RNA". It matches the Rfam family "Bacterial small subunit ribosomal RNA", at positions 524 to 776 of the family's 1533-position model. The record is from RNAcentral.